AUACGGAGGGGGUUAGCGUUGUUCGGAAUUACUGGGCGUAAAGCGCACGUAGGCGGAUCAGAAAGUAUGAGGUGAAAUCCCGGGGCUCAACCCCGGAACUGCCUUGUAAACUCCUGGUCUUGAGUUCGAGAGAGGUGAGUGGAAUUCCGAGUGUAGAGGUGAAAUUCGUAGAUAUUUGGAGGAACACCAGUGGCGAAGGCGGCUCACUGGCUCGAUACUGACGCUGAGGUGCGAAAGUGUGGGGAGCAAACAGGAUUAGAUACCCUGGUAGUCCACACCGUAAACGAUGUCUACUAGCCGUUGGGAGACUUGAUCUCUUAGUGGCGCAGCUAACGCGAUAAGUAGACCGCCUGGGGAGUACGGUCGCAAGAUUAAAAACUCAAAAUGAAUUGACGGGGGCCCGCACAAGCGGUGGAGCAUGUGGUUUAAUUCGAUGCAACGCGAAGAACCUUACCUACUCUUGACAUACUAGAAACUUUUCAGAGAUGAAUU
Molecule: ribosomal RNA, 492 nt
Filed under: uncultured Paracoccaceae bacterium
Lineage: Bacteria; Pseudomonadati; Pseudomonadota; Alphaproteobacteria; Rhodobacterales; Paracoccaceae
Description: bacterial SSU rRNA
Rfam family: Bacterial small subunit ribosomal RNA
Source: RNAcentral